UGGUGCUGAGUCCAGGUGGAGGGAAG
RNAcentral lists this non-coding RNA (26 nucleotides) under Homo sapiens (human). The record is from RNAcentral. Lineage: Eukaryota; Metazoa; Chordata; Mammalia; Primates; Hominidae.